This is a long non-coding RNA of Felis catus (domestic cat), 4143 nucleotides long. RefSeq lists it as uncharacterized. NCBI's taxonomy places the organism in Eukaryota, Metazoa, Chordata, Mammalia, Carnivora, Felidae. The record is from RefSeq and is a predicted model, not a curated record. The transcript is spliced from 4 exons.
UAGCACAAUAUCAAUAUCGACACACAAAUAUCAAUAAGCAAGUAUUGAAUGAACGAGUGAAGAAAUAACUGAAUGAAUAAUUGAUGGUUCUGAAAACAAAAAAUGGUGAGGCCAUGACAGAAAUAGAAGAUAAAGAAGGGUGCCAGCACAACAAGGAAGUUGUUUCAAAACAAAGAGAAACCAGGUUUCAUCUCAACGUAAGGGAGACCUUCACAGAGGCCAAGAGUUUUAAAGAUGGACCCUGCUUCAUCAGGAGGCGACGAUGGCGAGGGACAAAGCCUGGCCUGGCUCGCUCCUAACAGGAAUUGGCUCUGGAGAUUCCGGUAAUUGCUCCGUCCUUAUUAUUGAGCCUGUGAAGCCAGUCUUGGCCAGGGUGGCCCCCUCCCUUUUAGCCACUCACUUGCUAGAAUCAGGCUGCAGAUGGGCUGCUAACGAGGUGACCAAUUAACAAACGCUAAAUAACCCCAAAGGGUAUUUUCCUCCCUGGCCUGAUUUCCAGGCCCCUUUGUUCCUCCUUGGGAAUCUGUCCCCUGUGACAGGACCACAAUGGGACUGUUUCCAAGCCUGACCCUGUGAGAAGCUGACCACUCAAGCCAUGGUCACAAGACUGACUCCUUUGCUUGGGGGUGGGGGGAAGCAUGGGAGCAGGGAGGGUUCCUGCCUCUCAGGAAAAAUAGGGAGGGUUCCUGCCUCUCAGGAAAAAUGCUACAACCACCCCACGUUACUGACCACUUACUAUGUGUUAUAUAAUUCUUAUGCAACCUUUCAUUCAUGCAUUUAUUCAAACAAGCAGGAACUGAGGACUUCUGACGCACCAGAUGUCGUAGUGGGCAGCCCUGACCUCAGAGGCCCCGGGCCUCACGGGGCCUGUAUGUUAAAGCUUUGGCGCUUUGGUGCAUCUUCCUGUGAAUUCUCAGUCUUUCUCUGAUGCCUGGUACCUGCUGGCAGUGAGGACCUGGUGUGGAGCCCUGAGCUCCAUGUGAGUCCGGUCCCUGCUUCUCCCCUUCAGGGCAACCCUGGACCCUCUACCCUACCUCCCCACCCCACUCCCACACACGUAACAUACAUUAGGGUUGGCCAGAUCCUCUGAGGCCACUUGCACUUAUAGAAUCUCUUCCCGGAGUGUAGAGUGGUGAGUACAUCACUCCCUCCUGCUGAAGCUUCCUUCCUUCCUUCCUUCCUUCCUUCCUUCCUUCCUUCCUUCCUUCCUUUAUUUAUUUAUUUUCAUGGAGUCCCAUGAGAUUGACCCACCAGAAUGGUGCUGGCUCUCUGACUUGGUGUGACUGCCAUUGAUUGCAAAGACAGAAGCCUCACAAAGCAAAAUUUGCUUGGGACUCUACACAUCCCGGGAGUGGCACUAACACUAGAGAUAUGGUGGUGAGUGAAACGGACACAAUCCUCGUCCCCAGAGAAGUUGUGGUCACAAAUAGCGCUCAGAAGGGGACCGGAAAGAAUAGAAGGCAUUUGAGCCUCCACAAAGGCACCUGAUGUGUUGUCUGAGGUAGGUGCUAUUGUCAACUCCGUUGGACAAAUAAGAAAACCGAGGCACAAAGAUGCCGGUUGCCUGCCCGACGGUGCACUCCUAGUAGAACCAGAAACAAACUAAGGAACUUGCUCACCUAGGAUCCCAUGAAAUGUACAAUUGCUCUUGUCCACUUAGGUGGAUAUUUCGGCCUGGAAGCAGGAAAGCGGUAGUUGUCGGGACAACUUUAGUAGCAAGUGAGAGAAAACCAAGCACAGUCUGACUCAAGUACAAAAAAGCUGGGGUCAUUCCAUGAGGUGUUAAGACAGUCCAGCGUGGCCCAGUCCUAUCUGCAAUCAAUUCUGCUGCCCCGGACAGAGAAGGAACAAGAAAAGAGCUGGCAAGGGCACCUGGGCAGGACGGAAGAGACCAGGCUUCCGGUGCUGGCUGUGCCGCUGGCCACGGGCGAGUGGCAUUGGGACUCUGGCCUCAGCUUCCCUGCACGCAACCUGCAGAGAACCUGCUGGUGUAACAUGCUUCCCAGUUUGGGGUGAGGGUCACAGGAGGGCAGGUGAGCCCAAGAGUGGUUAUUUGAUGGUGACGCCAUUCCUCUUCUCCUGAAAGGUGCCCAAAGACAUUCCACCACCGUUAAGCAGCAGGACAGUCACGAGACACGUCAGGGGGCUGAGUGUCUUUGCUGAGCCCUCCCACUCCCACCGUCCAGUGUGAGAGCCACCUCACCGACUUCACCGAUCCCUCAUCCUUCUUUCCCUCCCACCUGGGCACCCCAGUCUCUAGACCCCAGCCAGGCAUAUGUGACUUGUCAUCCUUUGCUCUGGGCUGCUGGCCAACCUCCCCAGGCACAGUGGGUCCUGGCCAUUGGCCCAUGCCCCUGCUGCCCCAGACACUCUUAAUCCUGUCCCCAUAGACACCCCAACUUCUGCAGAUCAAAAACCUCCUUCUCACUCUUUGGAGACUCCCGUCCACCACGGCCACGAUGCUGUGUUGACAAGAGCUCCUGGAGGUGAGGAGAACCCUCACAGCUGCAGCCUCUCCAGCCUGCCUCAGAGGGAGCCUGGCCUUCCUCUCCUGGAGUGCCCUCCCCUGGGAUGGGCCUCUCUGCCUGGUCUAUCUCAGCCACUUUGACCUAUAAAAACCUUCUUCUGCACCCCCCACCUCCCUCCCUUUCCUCCCCCUCUCUCCUUCCCCCUUCCCCUCCAUCACUUCCCUACUCUCCCCUUCCUCCUCUUCCCCUCUCUGCCUCUAGCCUUCCCUUCUCUUUGCUUUCUCCCCCCAUGAGGGCCCUUCCCUCCUCUCUUCUUCCCACCCAACUCUGCUCUUAUCCAUCUUUCAGGACAACUACCCGCAGGGAGAGAGCCUGGGCCCUCCUCCCAGCCAGCUUCCCCAGCCAUUCCAGCAGGUAGGGCUUUCUAAACUGUUGCCACCAAGUGUCUCCCAAACACCAUACACAGGUUGCCCUACCUGCCAGGAGGUCAAACAGUUGGUGGGGGGGAUGUGUCCACACACAGCACAAAUUAGCCCACCAUACUAGUCAUGCAAGAUGCGGCUGUCGCCAUCCCCUGCUUUCCUCCCCUAGACGGCAAAAUGGAGUCUUUGAAAUUUAGGGUAGAAGAGCCCUUAGAAAUCCAUUGUGUUCCCAGCCAAUAGCACCAAUACAGCAUGUUUGAUAUUCAAAAUAUGAUCAGAUGUUAGUGUCUGUCUAAUAUUAGGUAUUAUCAAUAUUAUAUUCUCUAUAAAAUAGUACAGUAUCUCUACAGAGGAGAGUGUGGGUAGACCUAUAAUGAAGUAUAAUAUGAACUCAUAUCCAAUAUUAGAUAUUAAUGUCUACCUAGAGAAAAAACUAAACUGGAAGAGCCAGAAAAACACUAGACAAGAAGAAUAAAGGGGAAGAAUUGCUCUAUAAGAUACAAAAUAUUUUAAAACUAUCAUAAUUGAAAUAGCCCAGUAUUGGCAUGGGAAGGAAGAGACAGUACAGUGGGAAAGGAUAGAGACCAGAAAUAGGCCUAAAUAUAAAAAAUAAUUGAGCCUCUGAUGGAAGUGGUAUUUCAGAUCAGUGCAUGGAAAGAUCUGACCAAUGUCAUUGGCAUUACUAUUUAACCCUGGAUUGUUCCAUAUGGUAACCAGUAGCCACAGGUGGCUGUUGUGCGCCUGAACUGUGGCCAGUCCAAAAUACACACUGGAUUUUGAACUAGAUAUGAGAAAAGACAUAUAAAUUAACUCACUUAUAAUUUUUAUAUAGGUUAUACAUUGACAUUAUGCUUUGAAUAUAUGGUGGGAUAAAAUAAUAUGUUAUUAUGAUUGCUUCUACCUGUUUCCUUUUACUUAAAUUGUGGGUAACAGAACAUUUUAAAUUACAUAUAUGGCUUUCUUUAUAUAUAUAUUGGACAGAAGUAUUCUAACCACUUGUAAAAAGUAAAAUUGAAUCCCUAUCUCACACUUCAUAUGGAAAAUAAAAUCCAAAUGGAUUGAUAUUUUGAUGUAAAAUACACCGGGAAGAAAAUGUGCAUAAUCUAUUGUAUGAUUUUAUUUUAUGAUUGUGGAAUGGGGAAAACCUUUGAAAACAGACUAAAUUCAAAGCUAUCUUUUAAAAAGAUUGAUAAAUUUGAUGUCAUAAAAGAUAAAAUUAUCUACAAAGAAAAACACCUCUAAGAAGGUUGAAA